UACAGAGGUGGCGAGCGUUGUUCGGAUUUACUGGGCGUAAAGGGUGCGUAGGCGGUAUCGUGUGUCGGAUGUGAAAUCCCACUGCUCAAUGGUGGAACUGCAUUCGAAACUGCGAAACUUGAGGUCAUGAGGGGAGAGGGGAAUUCUUGGUGUAGCGGUGAAAUGCGUUGAUAUCAAGAAGAACACCGGUGGCGAAGGCGCCUCUCUGGAAUGAUUCUGACGCUGAGGCACGAAAGCUAGGGGAG
This 245-nucleotide ribosomal RNA is filed under the name uncultured bacterium. Its description in RNAcentral is "partial 16S ribosomal RNA". It matches the Rfam family "Bacterial small subunit ribosomal RNA", at positions 524 to 768 of the family's 1533-position model. The record is from RNAcentral.